This is a long non-coding RNA of Prionailurus viverrinus (fishing cat), 373 nucleotides long. RefSeq lists it as uncharacterized. The transcript is spliced from 3 exons. The record is from RefSeq and is a predicted model, not a curated record. NCBI's taxonomy places the organism in Eukaryota, Metazoa, Chordata, Mammalia, Carnivora, Felidae.
GAAGGAUGUUGGAAGGACCGUCUACAGUUUCAGGGUCAGACAGCCAAACCCACAUCUCCACAGUGGAACAGUAACACCAAUGGGACGGUUAUUAUCUGAGGACCAGGAGCUGCACCUGGACUUCUCGCCAGCUACAAACAUGCCUCUGACCUGAACAUGCUGUUCCCUGUCUGGAAUGCCCCUCCCUCAUCUGCCUAGUAAACGCUGACUUCUCAUCCUUCGAGGCCAACUUAACUGCCACUGCCUUUGCAGAGCCUUCUGACACGCCCCAGGCCAGCCCCUUCAUCUUCACACAGUGCCCGGUGCAGUACGUGCCCAGUCGAUGUUUAACCUACUGAACUGAAUAAAUAAGCAAGAUAGAAGAUCAAAUAUG